CUUUUAUGGAGAGUUUGAUCCUGGCUCAGGAUGAACGCUGGCGGCGUGCCUAAUACAUGCAAGUCGAGCGA
This 71-nucleotide ribosomal RNA is filed under the name Staphylococcus schleiferi. Its description in RNAcentral is "partial 16S ribosomal RNA". It matches the Rfam family "Bacterial small subunit ribosomal RNA", at positions 1 to 69 of the family's 1533-position model. RNAcentral also lists the same sequence under 2 other names. The record is from RNAcentral. Lineage: Bacteria; Bacillati; Bacillota; Bacilli; Caryophanales; Staphylococcaceae.